Molecule: ribosomal RNA, 479 nt
Filed under: uncultured anaerobic ammonium-oxidizing bacterium
Lineage: Bacteria
Description: bacterial SSU rRNA
Rfam family: Bacterial small subunit ribosomal RNA
Source: RNAcentral
UUUCGCAAUGCCCGAAAGGGUGACGAAGCGACGCCGCGUGAGUGAGGAAGGCCUUCGGGUUGUAAAGCUCUGUCAGGAGUUAAGAAAUAUAAGUGUGUUAAUACCACAUUUAUUUGACGAAGGCUCCAAAGGAAGCCACGGCUAACUCUGUGCCAGCAGCCGCGGUAAUACAGAGGUGGCAAGCGUUGUUCGGAAUUAUUGGGCGUAAAGAGCACGUAGGUGGGUUUGUAAGUCAGAUGUGAAAGCCUUCUGUUCAACGGAAGAAUUGCAUCUGAAACUGCGAGUCUUGAGUGUAGGAGGGGAGAAUGGAACUUCUGGUGGAGCGGUGAAAUGCGUAGAUAUCAGAAGGAACGCCGGCGGCGAAAGCGAUUCUCUGGCCUAUUACUGACACUCGGUGUGCGAAAGCUAGGGGAGCAAACGGGAUUAGAUACCCCGGUAGUCCUAGCUGUAAACGAUGGGCGCUAAGUAGAGGGGUUUUA